UGGCUCAGAUUGAACGCUGGCGGCAGGCCUAACACAUGCAAGUCGAGCGGAUGAGAAGAGCUUGCUCUUCGAUUCAGCGGCGGACGGGUGAGUAAUACCUAGGAAUCUGCCUGGUAGUGGGGGACAACGUUUCGAAAGGAACGCUAAUACCGCAUACGUCCUACGGGAGAAAGCAGGGGACCUUCGGGCCUUGCGCUAUCAGAUGAGCCUAGGUCGGAUUAGCUAGUUGGUGAGGUAAUGGCUCACCAAGGCUACGAUCCGUAACUGGUCUGAGAGGAUGAUCAGUCACACUGGAACUGAGACACGGUCCAGACUCCUACGGGAGGCAGCAGUGGGGAAUAUUGGACAAUGGGCGAAAGCCUGAUCCAGCCAUGCCGCGUGUGUGAAGAAGGUCUUCGGAUUGUAAAGCACUUUAAGUUGGGAGGAAGGGCAGUAAGCGAAUACCUUGCUGUUUUGACGUUACCGACAGAAUAAGCACCGGCUAACUCUGUGCCAGCAGCCGCGGUAAUACAGAGGGUGCAAGCGUUAAUCGGAAUUACUGGGCGUAAAGCGCGCGUAGGUGGUUCGUUAAGUUGGAUGUGAAAUCCCCGGGCUCAACCUGGGAACUGCAUCCAAAACUGGCGAGCUAGAGUAGGGCAGAGGGUGGUGGAAUUUCCUGUGUAGCGGUGAAAUGCGUAGAUAUAGGAAGGAACACCAGUGGCGAAGGCGACCACCUGGGCUCAUACUGACACUGAGGUGCGAAAGCGUGGGGAGCAAACAGGAU
RNAcentral lists this ribosomal RNA (763 nucleotides) under uncultured bacterium. RNAcentral describes it as "bacterial SSU rRNA". It matches the Rfam family "Bacterial small subunit ribosomal RNA", at positions 20 to 778 of the family's 1533-position model. The record is from RNAcentral.